GGCCAUGCCCCGGGGGGGCAGAAGACACCUCUCUGGAGUCACAGUUGAGAGACCUGCCCUGUGAAAAGCAGAGACCACGAUUGGGAGCGUCUCCAGGCGCUGCGGACACACUGGCCGAGGCGCUGGUCAGUGCAGGGGACACGGAUUUGAUCCCUGGUCCGGGAAGCUGCCACGUGCCACGGGGCGACUGAGCCCAUGUACCACAACUACUGAAGCCUGAAAUCUACAGCCCAUGCUCAGAAACAAGAGAAGCCACCGCAGUGAGAAGCCCACACACCACAGCUAGAGAAAAGCCCGUACGCAACAAUGAAGACCCAGUGCAGUCAUAAAUAAGUCCAGCAGAUUAUUUAUUAGCUUUCUGAAAAAACUGGGGUCCGCCCAGAUAUCCUUCAGUGAAUAAAUGUUGGUUACAUGCACACCAUGGAAUAUUCCUCAGCAAUGAAAAGGAGCAAACCAUUGAUACAGGCAACAACUUGGAUGAAUCUCCAGAGCAAUAAAUAGGCUGAGUGAAAAACAGCCAGUCCCCUACAUAUGAUCCUAUUUGCAUAACAUUUUUGAAAUAACAGAAGUUUAGAAAUGGAGGCCAAAUGGGCAGUUUCCAGAGGCUGGGGGUGGGGA
Molecule: long non-coding RNA, 618 nt
Organism: Dama dama (fallow deer)
Lineage: Eukaryota; Metazoa; Chordata; Mammalia; Artiodactyla; Cervidae
Exons: 3
Source: RefSeq, a predicted model, not a curated record